Molecule: ribosomal RNA, 496 nt
Filed under: uncultured bacterium
Lineage: Bacteria
Description: partial 16S ribosomal RNA
Rfam family: Bacterial small subunit ribosomal RNA
Source: RNAcentral
AUUGAACGCUGGCGGAAUGCUUUACACAUGCAAGUCGAACGGUAGAGGGGGCAACCCCUCGAGAGUGGCGAACGGGUGAGUAAUAUAUCGGAACGUGCCCAGUCGUGGGGGAUAACGUAGCGAAAGUUACGCUAAUACCGCAUACGAUCUAAGGAUGAAAGCGGGGGAUCGCAAGACCUCGCGCGAUUGGAGCGGCCGAUAUCAGAUUAGGUAGUUGGUGGGGUAAAGGCCCACCAAGCCAACGAUCUGUAUCGGGUCUGAGAGGACGACUUGCCACACUGGAACUGAGACACAGUCCAGACUCCUACGGGAGGCAGCAGUGGGGAAAGUUGGACGAUGGGCGCAAGUCAGAUCCAGCCAUUCCGCGUGCAGGAUGAAGGCCCUCGGGUUGUAAACUGCUUUUGUACGGAACGAAAAGGUCUCUCUUAAUACGGGGGACUCAUGACGGUACCGUAAGAAUAAGCACCGGCUAACUACGUGCCAGCCGCCGCGGUAA